CCCUUAGAUGUUCUGGGCGGCCCGCGCACUACAAUGGCGUGUGCAGCGAGUGCCGAAGUAGAGUUUUCCGAGGUAUUCUUGCAAUGCUCGUUUUGAUGGGGAUAGACCCUUGCAACUGUUGGUUUUGAACGAGGAAUUCCUUGUAAGCUUGGUUUAUCAUCCGACGCUGAAUGCGUCCCUGCCCUUUGUACACACCGCCCGUCGCUCCUACCGAUGAGUCGUCCGGUGAAGUUCGUAGACCUCGUGAUCGCGGAUCACUGGGGGAAGCAAAAUGAACCUCGCGGUUUAGAGGAAGGAGAAGUCGUAACA
This 309-nucleotide ribosomal RNA is filed under the name uncultured eukaryote. RNAcentral's name for it is "partial 18S ribosomal RNA". It matches the Rfam family "Eukaryotic small subunit ribosomal RNA", at positions 1470 to 1796 of the family's 1831-position model. The record is from RNAcentral.